Molecule: ribosomal RNA, 253 nt
Filed under: uncultured bacterium
Lineage: Bacteria
Description: partial 16S ribosomal RNA
Rfam family: Bacterial small subunit ribosomal RNA
Source: RNAcentral
UACGGAGGGUGCAAGCGUUAAUCGGAAUUACUGGGCGUAAAGAGUGCGUAGGUGGUUGAUUAAGUUAUGUGUGAAAUCCCUGGGCUUAACCUGGGCAGGUCAUAUAAUACUGAUUGACUCGAGUAUGGGAGAGGGUAGUGGAAUUUCCGGUGUAGCGGUGAAAUGCGUAGAUAUCUGGAGGAAUACCGGUGGCGAAGGCGGCAUCCUGGACCGGCAUUGACGCUGAUGAGCGAAAGCUAGGGGAGCAAACGGG